ACCUCGAUAAUGCAAUGGUUCAGCACGGCAGACCGGAUACCUGUAAGUGCAAGUUCGAGUCUUGCCUGAGAUU
RNAcentral lists this transfer RNA (73 nucleotides) under Dictyocaulus viviparus (bovine lungworm). It matches the Rfam family "tRNA". From Rfam's summary of the family: Transfer RNA (tRNA) molecules are approximately 80 nucleotides in length. Their secondary structure includes four short double-helical elements and three loops (D, anti-codon, and T loops). Further hydrogen bonds mediate the characteristic L-shaped molecular structure. tRNAs have two regions of fundamental functional importance: the anti-codon, which is responsible for specific mRNA codon recognition, and the 3' end, to which the tRNAs corresponding amino acid is attached (by aminoacyl-tRNA synthetases). tRNAs cope with the degeneracy of the genetic code in two manners: having more than one tRNA (with a specific anti-codon) for a particular amino acid; and 'wobble' base-pairing, i.e. permitting non-standard base-pairing at the 3rd anti-codon position. The record is from Rfam by way of RNAcentral. Lineage: Eukaryota; Metazoa; Nematoda; Chromadorea; Rhabditida; Metastrongylidae.